RNAcentral lists this long non-coding RNA (590 nucleotides) under Androctonus crassicauda. Lineage: Eukaryota; Metazoa; Arthropoda; Arachnida; Scorpiones; Buthidae. The record is from RNAcentral.
UGAAAUCAGUAUAAAAUAAUCAUCCCAUAUUUGCUAAAUGAUUAGAAUUAUCAAAAAAAGUACAAUUGUUGAUCAUAAAUAUUAGAAAUUGCUAUACUUCCAUUUAAUAUUAACUGCUUAUACAGAGACAAGCAGUCACCAUGUUUACUCAAUAAAAAAAAGAUCAGUCUAUGUAUUUCUGAUCUCAUUUGUAAAAUGCCCGUAAAUUAAUAUUUUUGUAUAUAUUUUAGCAUGAACAUUUACAUAUGUCCAUGUAUUUUUAAUAAUUAAAUUGGAAAGAAAUAUUUAUUAGGAAUAAAUAUGAUGGAUUGCAUCACUACCAAAGGACAAGCUAUCAGCAUGAAGAGGACAGGACAGUAUAUCACCUACAUAUUUUCUUGUCUUAUUUGCAUAGUAUCAGAUAUUUAUUUAAUUUAAUAUACAGGGCUUGGAACUUAUCAUGGGAGAUAAGUUCUAAGCUUCUUAUAGAUACUUGAAACUAUAGCAAUAGAUAGCAUUGAACAUAAUACUGUACAUACUUAUGAUAAAGUUUAAUUUAUAAAUUAGUUACAAUAAGACAUUAACAACAAUAACUAAUAAUAAAAUAGAAC